RNAcentral lists this ribosomal RNA (1434 nucleotides) under uncultured compost bacterium. Its description in RNAcentral is "16S ribosomal RNA". It matches the Rfam family "Bacterial small subunit ribosomal RNA". The record is from RNAcentral.
GAGUGGCGAACUGGUGAGUAACACGUGGGAAACCUGCCCAGAAGUGGGGGAUAACACCUGGAAACAGAUGCUAAUACCGCAUAACAACUCGGACCGCAUGGUCUGAGUUUGAAAGAUGGCUUCGGCUAUCACUUUUGGAUGGUCCCGCGGCGUAUUAGCUAGAUGGUGGGGUAACGGCUCACCAUGGCAAUGAUACGUAGCCGACCUGAGAGGGUAAUCGGCCACAUUGGGACUGAGACACGGCCCAAACUCCUACGGGAGGCAGCAGUAGGGAAUCUUCCACAAUGGACGAAAGUCUGAUGGAGCAACGCCGCGUGAGUGGAAGAAGGGUUUCGGCUCGUAAAACUCUGUUGUUAAAGAAGAACAUAUCUGAGAGUAACUGUUCAGGUAUUGACGGUAUUUAACCAGAAAGCCACGGCUAACUACGUGCCAGCAGCCGCGGUAAUACGUAGGUGGGCAAGCGUUGUCCGGAUUUAUUGGGCGUAAAGCGAGCGCAGGCGGUUUUUUAAGUCUGAUGUGAAAGCCUUCGGCUUAACCGAAGAAGUGCAUCGGAAACUGGGAAACUUGAGUGCAGAAGAGGACAGUGGAACUCCAUGUGUAGCGGUGAAAUGCGUAGAUAUAUGGAAGAACACCAGUGGCGAAGGCGGCUGUCUGGUCUGUAACUGACGCUGAGGCUCGAAAGUAUGGGUAGCAAACAGGAUUAGAUACCCUGGUAGUCCAUACCGUAAACGAUGAAUGCUAAGUGUUGGAGGGUUUCCGCCCUUCAGUGCUGCAGCUAACGCAUUAAGCAUUCCGCCUGGGGAGUACGGCCGCAAGGCUGAAACUCAAAGGAAUUGACGGGGGCCCGCACAAGCGGUGGAGCAUGUGGUUUAAUUCGAAGCUACGCGAAGAACCUUACCAGGUCUUGACAUACUAUGCAAAUCUAAGAGAUUAGACGUUCCCUUCGGGGACAUGGAUACAGGUGGUGCAUGGUUGUCGUCAGCUCGUGUCGUGAGAUGUUGGGUUAAGUCCCGCAACGAGCGCAACCCUUAUUAUCAGUUGCCAGCAUUAAGUUGGGCACUCUGGUGAGACUGCCGGUGACAAACCGGAGGAAGGUGGGGAUGACGUCAAAUCAUCAUGCCCCUUAUGACCUGGGCUACACACGUGCUACAAUGGAUGGUACAACGAGUUGCGAACUCGCGAGAGUAAGCUAAUCUCUUAAAGCCAUUCUCAGUUCGGAUUGUAGGCUGCAACUCGCCUACAUGAAGUCGGAAUCGCUAGUAAUCGCGGAUCAGCAUGCCGCGGUGAAUACGUUCCCGGGCCUUGUACACACCGCCCGUCACACCAUGAGAGUUUGUAACACCCAAAGUCGGUGGGGUAACCUUCGGGAGCCAACCGCCUAAGGUGGGACAGAUGAUUAGGGUGAAGUCGUAACAAGGUAGCCGUAGGAGAACC